GAUGCGCCCACGUUUGUCGGUCACGCCGGAUUGCCGCAGCAACUCGCCGCGCGCGGCGCGUUCUAUCGCGAGGGCCUCGAAAAAAUUCUCGGCGCGGGGGAGGUGGGCGAGGUGGUGAUGCCGACCAUGCUGGUGGCGAGGGACAAGCCGGCCGAACUCGAUCUUGGCGGUCGUGGUCUCAUCCUGACCGCGCAUCAGCCGGCGCAUACGGUCAGCGAUCUCAGCGUGCGCGACAAGCAAUCCGGAAUUCUGUUCGCCGGCGAUCUGUUGUUCGUCGGGCGGGCGCCGUCGCUCGAUGGCGAUCUCAAGGGAUGGCUGAAGGAGCUGGCAGCGAUGCGCGCCUCGGGUGUGGGUCAGGCGGUGCCCGGCCAUGGUCCGCCGCUGGUGCCGAUGCGGGCUGCGGUGGCGCCGC
This 412-nucleotide unclassified non-coding RNA is filed under the name Hevea brasiliensis (rubber tree). Lineage: Eukaryota; Viridiplantae; Streptophyta; Magnoliopsida; Malpighiales; Euphorbiaceae. The record is from RNAcentral.